This is a long non-coding RNA of Anopheles stephensi (Asian malaria mosquito), 1905 nucleotides long. RefSeq lists it as uncharacterized. The record is from RefSeq and is a predicted model, not a curated record. The transcript is spliced from 2 exons. NCBI's taxonomy places the organism in Eukaryota, Metazoa, Arthropoda, Insecta, Diptera, Culicidae.
CCUGUCAGUUUACCUUGUUAGUAUAUCCUACUUGACCUGUUACAAGUGGUAGCUACAUUAAGAACUCCAAAACUCAAACUCCUUCCAUCUUUCGCAAGCUCUACUACGACUACUUCCCACCCACGCUACCGAGGCUCUUUCGACAGUGUCAAAGAUAUCGUAAUCAAAAGGUGAUUUACUGACUUGGCCGCAAUAAAUUACGACCGGAACAAGUGAAGUUCGUUUUGCCGGAUUUGUGUACGGGGCUGGCCGAUGCCGAUUCCCAGCGCACGUUCAUCUUCGGUGCCGUUCCUUAUAUUUGGCUGUCAAGCAGGCUGAAGCAGCGGACCAGCAUGCGGACGGGUAAAAUUGGAUUAACCAUGUGUGCUUGUGUGUGUGUGUGCGGUGCUUACAAACGAGAGCAUUACGCAGUCGGGACAAAAAAGAAACGAAAUAUUGUGGGAGUUAGGUAGACAGAGAGAGAGAGAGAGAGACAGGUAGUGCGAAUCACGGACAAAUCGGUCCUGUUAUUGACAACGCGGGAGGUGAGGGUGUGUAAGUGAGUGGUCCCCAAAAACAGCAGCAGGUCAGCAGUUUGUAUAACCCCUACCGUUUGUUCUGGCCGAUAGAGGGCACCAAAAAAAGGCGAUCGAGAAUAAGAGUUUGCUUUGGUUUUAUAGUACACAUGUGACCCAAUCCCACACACACGCACACACGUCGCCCAACCCCGAGUGGCAUAAAAUCCCACGAAAGAGACGAGAAGGAGAAAGGUAGAGACGGAGCGAGAGAGAAAAAAAGGUGUCAACACUUUGAAAGCAAUUGGUAGUUUUGGAGUCCGGAUCUCCACCUUCGCAAUCAUCAGCGUGAUAAAAACCCCUCCAGGGUUACAACACUGUGCGGAGGCCCUGUGUCAAUUUGGUCCUUUUAAUUUCCCGAAAUGGAACAUUCUGCUCCUGUCCUGUCCCUGCUCGCAGCGGUUCUAUCCCUAACACUCCAAUGUCCAGGCGAGAAUACUCGAGUACUCCCCCUUUUUUACCGAAGAAAGAUUUAUGAGCUGAUACCUAAUGCGUGUGAGUGUGUACGUAAUGGUACCGUUUGUGCUGAAGCGUUUAUUAGGGAAUAGUUUUACACGGUGCUGAAGGUAGAUUUGUUUGCGUCUUUUGGCUAAAUGGAAGUUGGAAGAGGGUUUUUGGUGGCAUCAGAUUGAGAGGAAGUUUCGCUCCGAAAAAGCUGGACACUGAACACGGUUUUGGCAGCUUGCAGUAGCGCAUAUCAUUAAACAUUUAUUUAUUUUCGGGUAUUCGAGUAAUGGGUAAUGCAAUGUGACAGCUGUCAAACCUUGGUCAGGAGUCAUCUUUCCAGGACUCUUCAGUUCAAGCGACUGUAGAAAGUAUCUGGUAGAUUCAAUGUUGGUUUUUGAAAGUAUACCUCACCCAUGUGUGGCAGUUAAUGAGAACCUUCAAAAGAGUUCCCUUCAAAGUAAACAUGCGAUCUCUGCAACACAAAAUUGGUGUUCGGAAUGAGGAUAUUUAUCCGUCGUUCACCGAUUUUUAAAUGUUCACCCGAUUCCAGCGCUCUGGUUAGUGUCUAACGUCUGCAGGUUCGGGAGCGCUGUUCCAUGUACAGUACGCGGAUAGAACCUCCCACACUGCAUCAUCAAGCAUUAACCAGCCAAAACAAUAUACGUGUUGGCGUCGCUGCCAAGCGCGUACCAGUGGUGAGUCCUAUUCUAAAUGCCAUCACCACGCGUACGUAAUCCACAAUAAGACGGGCGACCGCCAAUUCGACUCACACCGAACGAACGGGCCAGUACGUAGAAAGUAAUUAAACAAAUUACUACUGACAGUCUCCCACUCCCAAUCUAGUCGUCCGUACCCUGGAAGCACACAGAUCCACAUGACACAAAGCGGAAUACAAAAAAAAAAA